UUCAGAAUUCGGGUCUACAAAAUUUAUUAUCUUAUCUCACAAAAUCCAUAACCCAGCUUCUGUUUACUUCAUAUAAAGGACAUAUUUUUCUUUUCUCUUAAUAAACAAUAGAUUUUGAAAACUCUGUCAACAAAAUCAGUCACCCUUCCAGUUUUAGCAGCUUGAAAUGGAAAUGUUCUGUAUACUCUAUUCAUCCAUUUUUAGUUACACAAUUUGCUCGUUAUUAUUGAGCAAUGGAGCUCUCUAUUUUUUGCUACACAGAAAUUUCGUUUUCCUCUAUUCUUUGUUACACCGAACUUUCUUUUUCAUCUAUUUUUUGUUACACAGAAAUUUCUCAUGGAUCCAAAUGAAACUCAAGAGCCAAAUGAAAUUCAAGAUCCAAAUGAAACUCAAGAUCCAAAUGAAACUCAAUAUACUUCGCAUGUUAGUUACACAGUGACUAAUGCUGAUAAUAUGGGUUACAUUGAGAACCCUUAUGUAGAAAUUCAGCUGGAUGAUCAUUCUCUGAAUGUCGAGAAUUCGGAAGCUUUCGAUGCUAAUUACUCAUCCGAAUCUGGUGAGAUGUUUCGUUAUGGAUAGAGGUGAAGAAAGAAUGGUUUUCCCUCAACACCAUAUCACAUUUGCUGAAUGGCACACUACUCAAGCAACAUACAAUGUGUAUCCUGCUCAAGCUUUCACGUUUCCUACUGGAUUUUACUCAGCCGAUUGUCUCACUCAAGAUGCAGUUUAUGUACCAGAUGUUUAUAAGGAACAAAUCAGAGGUCUUGUGAGAUUUCUGGUUUAUUUGCAUGAGAGUGAAAUGACCACUUGUGGUUUUAGUCCACAUAAUUUGGUGGUUGAAGAAGGGCAACUUAAAUUUUAUAAAAUCAAAACGAAAUAUUUUACUCCUCAUCUUUCAGUAAAUCAAAGGGCUGUAAGAAGCGACUAUGUUAGUUUGAAACAGUUUUUACUGAACGAAAUUUUUUCUGGAUACACACUCCCGCAUCAAAUGAAGCAUUUUUUGAGACUGCUUAAUUCCCGUUCUAUAAGUGCUAAUGAGAAUUUGCUGGAAAGACAUGUGGCCCUGAUGUCACAUGCACAAACAGUGAGUUGUUGGGAGAAUCGGCUAACAUUGGAAAGCGUAGAGCUGGGUAAAUACCGAAGAGCAAUUUCCCAGUUAGGCGAUAACACUGGAUGGUCUAGCAGAGUGAACCGCGAGCCUCUUCUUAAUUGCUAUAUGAAUCAUCAGACUAGUGGUGGACAACCAUAUCCGGUAAUGAUUUUAAGAUGAAUUCAAGUUUCAUAAAAUGCUGGAGGAACACCGUGUGUACGAGGUGGCCCAAACGUUUAAUACGUUGUUUUCCACUGUCAAUGUUGAUGCAAUGAUCAUGCACGCUUUUGGGGAUAAAAUAGCGGAAUUUCAAAUGCUACUAUGGGAGAAAGACAUUUUGAAUUUUUUUAUAUGAUUUAGAUACAAGGAGAUGAGCAGCUAUCAAUUGUUUUCGGGUGCUUUUUGAGAAGGAGGAUUAUGAUUAUUAUUGUCUUUUGAUGUUUUUUAAAUUAUUAUGUUUGUGUAAUUUUAUUCUGAUAAUUACUUAUUGUGAGAUAUUUUAAAUUAAGAUUUGGUUGGAACUUUUA
Mercurialis annua (annual mercury) is the source of this 1617-nucleotide RNA transcript. RefSeq lists it as uncharacterized. Lineage: Eukaryota; Viridiplantae; Streptophyta; Magnoliopsida; Malpighiales; Euphorbiaceae. The transcript has 4 exons. The record is from RefSeq and is a predicted model, not a curated record.